GGAAAAGAAACUAACAAGGAUUCCCCUAGUAACGGCGAGUGAAGCGGGAAGAGCUCAAAUUUGAAAUCUGGUAGCCUUCGGUUGCCCGAGUUGUAAUCUAGAGAAGUGUUUUCCGUGCCGGCCCAUGUACAAGUCCCUUGGAACAGGGCGUCAUAGAGGGUGAGAAUCCCGUCCUUGACAUGGACCCCCGGUGCUUUGUGAUACACUUUCAACGAGUCGAGUUGUUUGGGAAUGCAGCUCAAAAUGGGUGGUGAAUUCCAUCUAAAGCUAAAUAUUGGCGAGAGACCGAUAGCGAACAAGUACCGUGAGGGAAAGAUGAAAAGCACUUUGGAAAGAGAGUUAAACAGUACGUGAAAUUGUUGAAAGGGAAACGAUUGAAGUCAGUCAUGCUCUUGGGACUUACCUCCCUUGAGUGGGGUCAACAUCAGUUUUGAUCGAUGGAUAAAGGCACGGGGAAGGUAGCACUCUCGGGUGAACUUAUAGCCUCGCGUCAUAUACAUUGAUUGGGACUGAGGAACGCAGCAUGCCUUAUGGCCGGGAUUCGUCCACGUACAUGCUUAGGAUGUUGACAUAAUGGCUUUAAACGACC
This 589-nucleotide ribosomal RNA is filed under the name Naganishia albida. RNAcentral describes it as "partial large subunit ribosomal RNA". It matches the Rfam family "Eukaryotic large subunit ribosomal RNA", at positions 55 to 649 of the family's 3401-position model. Lineage: Eukaryota; Fungi; Basidiomycota; Tremellomycetes; Filobasidiales; Filobasidiaceae. The record is from RNAcentral.